UUUCAGAGAUGAGAAUGUGCCUUCGGGAACCGUGAGACAGGUGCUGCAUGGCUGUCGUCAGCUCGUGUUGUGAAAUGUUGGGUUAAGUCCCGCAACGAGCGCAACCCUUAUCCUUUGUUGCCAGCGGUCCGGCCGGGAACUCAAAGGAGACUGCCAGUGAUAAACUGGAGGAAGGUGGGGAUGACGUCAAGUCAUCAUGGCCCUUACGACCAGGGCUACACACGUGCUACAAUGGCGCAUACAAAGAGAAGCGACCUCGCGAGAGCAAGCGGACCUCAUAAAGUGCGUCGUAGUCCGGAUUGGAGUCUGCAACUCGACUCCAUGAAGUCGGAAUCGCUAGUAAUCGUGGAUCAGAAUGCCACGGUGAAUACGUUCCCGGGCCUUGUACACACCGCCCGUCACACCAUGGGAGUGGGUUGCAAAAGAAGUAGGUAGCUUAACCUUCGGGAGGGCGCUUACCACUUUGUGAUUCAUGACUGGGGUGAAGUCGUAACAAGGUAACCGUAGGGGAACCUGCGGUUGGA
RNAcentral lists this ribosomal RNA (524 nucleotides) under Salmonella enterica. Its description in RNAcentral is "bacterial SSU rRNA". It matches the Rfam family "Bacterial small subunit ribosomal RNA", at positions 998 to 1522 of the family's 1533-position model. Lineage: Bacteria; Pseudomonadati; Pseudomonadota; Gammaproteobacteria; Enterobacterales; Enterobacteriaceae. The record is from RNAcentral.